RNAcentral lists this ribosomal RNA (1358 nucleotides) under uncultured bacterium. RNAcentral describes it as "bacterial SSU rRNA". It matches the Rfam family "Bacterial small subunit ribosomal RNA", at positions 28 to 1381 of the family's 1533-position model. The record is from RNAcentral.
GAUGAACGCUAGCUACAGGCUUAACACAUGCAAGUCGAGGGGCAGCAUGGUCUUAGCUUGCUAAGGCCGAUGGCGACCGGCGCACGGGUGAGUAACACGUAUCCAACCUGCCGUCUACUCUUGGACAGCCUUCUGAAAGGAAGAUUAAUACAAGAUGGCAUCAUGAGUCCACAUGUUCACAUGAUUAAAGGUAUUCCGGUAGACGAUGGGGAUGCGUUCCAUUAGAUAGUAGGCGGGGUAACGGCCCACCUAGUCUUCGAUGGAUAGGGGUUCUGAGAGGAAGGUCCCCCACAUUGGAACUGAGACACGGUCCAAACUCCUACGGGAGGCAGCAGUGAGGAAUAUUGGUCAAUGGGCGAGAGCCUGAACCAGCCAAGUAGCGUGAAGGAUGACUGCCCUAUGGGUUGUAAACUUCUUUUAUAAAGGAAUAAAGUCGGGUAUGGAUACCCGUUUGCAUGUACUUUAUGAAUAAGGAUCGGCUAACUCCGUGCCAGCAGCCGCGGUAAUACGGAGGAUCCGAGCGUUAUCCGGAUUUAUUGGGUUUAAAGGGAGCGUAGAUGGAUGUUUAAGUCAGUUGUGAAAGUUUGCGGCUCAACCGUAAAAUUGCAGUUGAUACUGGAUAUCUUGAGCGCAGUUGAGGCAGGCGGAAUUCGUGGUGUAGCGGUGAAAUGCUUAGAUAUCACGAAGAACUCCGAUUGCGAAGGCAGCCUGCUAAGCUGCAACUGACAUUGAGGCUCGAAAGUGUGGGUAUCAAACAGGAUUAGAUACCCUGGUAGUCCACACGGUAAACGAUGAAUACUCGCUGUUUGCGAUAUACAGCAAGCGGCCAAGCGAAAGCGUUAAGUAUUCCACCUGGGGAGUACGCCGGCAACGGUGAAACUCAAAGGAAUUGACGGGGGCCCGCACAAGCGGAGGAACAUGUGGUUUAAUUCGAUGAUACGCGAGGAACCUUACCCGGGCUUAAAUUGCAGAUGAAUUACGGUGAAAGCCGUAAGCCGCAAGGCAUCUGUGAAGGUGCUGCAUGGUUGUCGUCAGCUCGUGCCGUGAGGUGUCGGCUUAAGUGCCAUAACGAGCGCAACCCUUGUUGUCAGUUACUAACAGGUUCCGCUGAGGACUCUGACAAGACUGCCAUCGUAAGAUGUGAGGAAGGUGGGGAUGACGUCAAAUCAGCACGGCCCUUACGUCCGGGGCUACACACGUGUUACAAUGGGGGGUACAGAGGGCCGCUACCACGCGAGUGGAUGCCAAUCCCAAAAACCUCUCUCAGUUCGGACUGGAGUCUGCAACCCGACUCCACGAAGCUGGAUUCGCUAGUAAUCGCGCAUCAGCCACGGCGCGGUGAAUACGUUCCCGGGCCU